This 78-nucleotide signal recognition particle RNA is filed under the name Rhodospirillaceae bacterium. RNAcentral describes it as "partial signal recognition particle sRNA small type". It matches the Rfam family "Bacterial small signal recognition particle RNA", at positions 22 to 97 of the family's 97-position model. From Rfam's summary of the family: The signal recognition particle (SRP) is a universally conserved ribonucleoprotein involved in the co-translational targeting of proteins to membranes. The record is from RNAcentral. Lineage: Bacteria; Pseudomonadati; Pseudomonadota; Alphaproteobacteria; Rhodospirillales; Rhodospirillaceae.
GUCUCGCCAACCCGGUCAGGUCCGGAAGGAAGCAGCCGUAACGAGUUUCCGCGCGGGUCGCUGUCCAGCCUCUCACCU